GGUUAAGUCCGGUAACGAGCGCAACCCUCGCCAUAUGUUACAAGUGUCGUAUGGGACUGCCGAGUAUAAAAGUCGGGAGGAAGUGGGGAUGACGUCAAGUCAGCAUGGCCUUUAUGUCCGGGGCUACACACACGCUACAAUGGCCGGUACAAUAGGUAGCAAGACCGCGAGGUGGAGCCAAUCCUUAAAGCCGGUCUCAGUUCAGAUUGCAGGCUGCAACUCGCCUGCAUGAAGUCGGAGUUGCUAGUAACCGCGCGUCAGCAAUAGUGCGGUGAAUACCGGUUCCCGGGCCUU
RNAcentral lists this ribosomal RNA (294 nucleotides) under uncultured Anaerolineaceae bacterium. RNAcentral's name for it is "partial 16S ribosomal RNA". It matches the Rfam family "Bacterial small subunit ribosomal RNA", at positions 1078 to 1382 of the family's 1533-position model. Lineage: Bacteria; Bacillati; Chloroflexota; Anaerolineae; Anaerolineales; Anaerolineaceae. The record is from RNAcentral.